RNAcentral lists this unclassified non-coding RNA (224 nucleotides) under Hevea brasiliensis (rubber tree). Lineage: Eukaryota; Viridiplantae; Streptophyta; Magnoliopsida; Malpighiales; Euphorbiaceae. The record is from RNAcentral.
GGCCAAUGGUUCAGCACUUUCUUUAGAUAAGAUUUUUACAAUCUUUCUUUCCUUCUGGAGAUUAUCAAUUAAUAGCUAGAAUCCUCUGACUGUUGCUUUCUAUGCAAAAGAGAAAUGCCUUGGAAGGAAUUUCGUCUUCCAAAUGAUCUUCCAAGUAAAGUUGAAUUCACCAUCAACCAAUUUUCCCUUGCCCAAAGCUCAAUAGAAAGACAACAUGAAACAAA